RNAcentral lists this ribosomal RNA (1373 nucleotides) under uncultured bacterium. Its description in RNAcentral is "bacterial SSU rRNA". It matches the Rfam family "Bacterial small subunit ribosomal RNA", at positions 28 to 1381 of the family's 1533-position model. The record is from RNAcentral.
GAUGAACGCUGGCGGCGUGCCUAAUACAUGCAAGUCGAGCGAACGGACGAGAAGCUUGCUUCUCUGAUGUUAGCGGCGGACGGGUGAGUAACACGUGGAUAACCUACCUAUAAGACUGGGAUAACUUCGGGAAACCGGAGCUAAUACCGGAUAAUAUUUUGAACCGCAUGGUUCAAAAGUGAAAGACGGUCUUGCUGUCACUUAUAGAUGGAUCCGCGCUGCAUUAGCUAGUUGGUAAGGUAACGGCUUACCAAGGCAACGAUGCAUAGCCGACCUGAGAGGGUGAUCGGCCACACUGGAACUGAGACACGGUCCAGACUCCUACGGGAGGCAGCAGUAGGGAAUCUUCUGCAAUGGGCGAAAGCCUGACGGAGCAACGCCGCGUGAGUGAUGAAGGUCUUCGGAUCGUAAAACUCUGUUAUUAGGGAAGAACAUAUGUGUAAGUAACUGUGCACAUCUUGACGGUACCUAAUCAGAAAGCCACGGCUAACUACGUGCCAGCAGCCGCGGUAAUACGUAGGUGGCAAGCGUUAUCCGGAAUUAUUGGGCGUAAAGCGCGCGUAGGCGGUUUUUUAAGUCUGAUGUGAAAGCCCACGGCUCAACCGUGGAGGGUCAUUGGAAACUGGAAAACUUGAGUGCAGAAGAGGAAAGUGGAAUUCCAUGUGUAGCGGUGAAAUGCGCAGAGAUAUGGAGGAACACCAGUGGCGAAGGCGACUUUCUGGUCUGUAACUGACGCUGAUGUGCGAAAGCGUGGGGAUCAAACAGGAUUAGAUACCCUGGUAGUCCACGCCGUAAACGAUGAGUGCUAAGUGUUAGGGGGUUUCCGCCCCUUAGUGCUGCAGCUAACGCAUUAAGCACUCCGCCUGGGGAGUACGACCGCAAGGUUGAAACUCAAAGGAAUUGACGGGGACCCGCACAAGCGGUGGAGCAUGUGGUUUAAUUCGAAGCAACGCGAAGAACCUUACCAAAUCUUGACAUCCUUUGACAACUCUAGAGAUAGAGCCUUCCCCUUCGGGGGGGCAAAGUGACAGGUGGUGCAUGGUUGUCGUCAGCUCGUGUCGUGAGAUGUUGGGUUAAGUCCCGCAACGAGCGCAACCCUUAAGCUUAGUUGCCAUCAUUAAGUUGGGCACUCUAAGUUGACUGCCGGUGACAAACCGGAGGAAGGUGGGGAUGACGUCAAAUCAUCAUGCCCCUUAUGAUUUGGGCUACACACGUGCUACAAUGGACAAUACAAAGGGCAGCGAAACCGCGAGGUCAAGCAAAUCCCAUAAAGUUGUUCUCAGUUCGGAUUGUAGUCUGCAACUCGACUACAUGAAGCUGGAAUCGCUAGUAAUCGUAGAUCAGCAUGCUACGGUGAAUACGUUCCCGGGUCU